GGAGUAACACGUGACUAACCUACCCUCGAGUGGGGGAAUAACUCCGGGAAACCGGAGCUAAUACCGCAUAACAUCUUCGGAGCGCAAGCUCUGUUGAUCAAAGGAGCAAUUCGCUUGAGGAGGGAGUCGCGGCUGAUUAGCUAGUUGGCGGGGUAAUGGCCCACCGAGGCUUAGAUCGGUAGCCGGCCUGAGAGGGCGCACGGCCACACUGGAACUGAAACACGGUCCAG
RNAcentral lists this ribosomal RNA (230 nucleotides) under uncultured bacterium. RNAcentral describes it as "partial 16S ribosomal RNA". It matches the Rfam family "Bacterial small subunit ribosomal RNA", at positions 107 to 334 of the family's 1533-position model. The record is from RNAcentral.